AUUGAACGCUGGCGGCAUGCUUUACACAUGCAAGUCGAACGGUAACAGGCCGCCAGGUGCUGACGAGUGGCGAACGGGUGAGUAAUGCAUCGGAACGUGCCCAGUCGUGGGGGAUAACUACUCGAAAGAGUAGCUAAUACCGCAUACGAUCUAUGGAUGAAAGCGGGGGACCGUAAGGCCUCGCGCGAUUGGAGCGGCCGAUGUCAGAUUAGGUAGUUGGUGGGGUAAAGGCUCACCAAGCCAACGAUCUGUAGCUGGUCUGAGAGGACGACCAGCCACACUGGGACUGAGACACGGCCCAGACUCCUACGGGAGGCAGCAGUGGGGAAUUUUGGACAAUGGGCGCAAGCCUGAUCCAGCAAUGCCGCGUGCAGGAAGAAGGCCUUCGGGUUGUAAACUGCCUUUGUACGGAACGAAACGGCUCUGGUUAAUACCCGGGGCUAAUGACGGUACCGUAAGAAUAAGCACCGGCUAACUACGUG
This 482-nucleotide ribosomal RNA is filed under the name uncultured bacterium. RNAcentral describes it as "partial 16S ribosomal RNA". It matches the Rfam family "Bacterial small subunit ribosomal RNA", at positions 30 to 507 of the family's 1533-position model. The record is from RNAcentral.